RNAcentral lists this ribosomal RNA (523 nucleotides) under uncultured bacterium. Its description in RNAcentral is "bacterial SSU rRNA". It matches the Rfam family "Bacterial small subunit ribosomal RNA", at positions 988 to 1509 of the family's 1533-position model. The record is from RNAcentral.
CCAGAGAAUUUAGCAGAGAUGCUUUAGUGCCUUCGGGAACUCUGAGACAGGUGCUGCAUGGCUGUCGUCAGCUCGUGUUGUGAAAUGUUGGGUUAAGUCCCCGCAACGAGCGCAACCCUUAUCCUUUGUUGCCAGCACGUAAUGGUGGGAACUCAAAGGAGACUGCCGGUGAUAAACCGGAGGAAGGUGGGGAUGACGUCAAGUCAUCAUGGCCCUUACGAGUAGGGCUACACACGUGCUACAAUGGCGCAUACAAAGAGAAGCGAUCUCGCGAGAGCAAGCGGACCUCAUAAAGUGCGUCGUAGUCCGGAUUGGAGUCUGCAACUCGACUCCAUGAAGUCGGAAUCGCUAGUAAUCGUAAAUCAGAAUGUUACGGUGAAUACGUUCCCGGGCCUUGUACACACCGCCCGUCACACCAUGGGAGUGGGUUGCAAAAGAAGUAGAUAGCUUAACCUUCGGGAGGGCGUUUACCACUUUGUGAUUCAUGACUGGGGUGAAGUCGUAACAAGGUAGGCGUAGUGCU